GUGGCUGUAGCUCAGUGGUAGAGCGCCAGGUUGUGGCCCUGGAGGCCGAGGGUCCGAUCCCCUCCAGUCACC
RNAcentral lists this transfer RNA (72 nucleotides) under Candidatus Berkelbacteria bacterium. RNAcentral's name for it is "tRNA-His". It matches the Rfam family "tRNA". From Rfam's summary of the family: Transfer RNA (tRNA) molecules are approximately 80 nucleotides in length. Their secondary structure includes four short double-helical elements and three loops (D, anti-codon, and T loops). Further hydrogen bonds mediate the characteristic L-shaped molecular structure. tRNAs have two regions of fundamental functional importance: the anti-codon, which is responsible for specific mRNA codon recognition, and the 3' end, to which the tRNAs corresponding amino acid is attached (by aminoacyl-tRNA synthetases). tRNAs cope with the degeneracy of the genetic code in two manners: having more than one tRNA (with a specific anti-codon) for a particular amino acid; and 'wobble' base-pairing, i.e. permitting non-standard base-pairing at the 3rd anti-codon position. The record is from RNAcentral. Lineage: Bacteria; Candidatus Berkelbacteria.